RNAcentral lists this ribosomal RNA (1475 nucleotides) under uncultured prokaryote. RNAcentral's name for it is "partial 16S ribosomal RNA". It matches the Rfam family "Bacterial small subunit ribosomal RNA". The record is from RNAcentral.
AAGAGUUUGAUCAUGGCUCAGGAUGAACGCUAGCGGGAGGCUUAACACAUGCAAGUCGAGCGGGAACACUUCGGUGAGAUGGCGACCGGCGCACGGGUGCGUAACGCGUAUGCAACCUACCUUAUACAAAGGGAUAGCCCAUGGAAACGUGGAUUAAUACCUUAUGGUACUAUAAAGCUACAUAGUUUAAUAGUUAAAACUUCGGUGGUAUAAGAUGGGCAUGCGUAUGAUUAGGUAGUUGGUAGGGUAAAGGCCUACCAAGCCGACGAUCAUUAGGGGUUCUGAGAGGAUUAUCCCCCACACUGGUACUGAGACACGGACCAGACUCCUACGGGAGGCAGCAGUGAGGAAUAUUGGUCAAUGGACGAGAGUCUGAACCAGCUAUCCCGCGUGCAGGAUGACGGCCCUAUGGGUUGUAAACUGCUUUUCUAUGCCAAGAAAUCUUACUACGUGUAGUAAGUUGACGGUAGCAUAGGAAUAAGGACCGGCUAACUCCGUGCCAGCAGCCGCGGUAAUACGGAGGGUCCAAGCGUUAUCCGGAUUUAUUGGGUUUAAAGGGUGCGCAGGUGGGAAUGUAAGUCAGUGGUGAAAUACUGCCGCUCAACGGUAGAACUGCCAUUGAUACUGCAUCUCUUGAAUAUAGUUGAGGUAGGCGGAAUGUGUAAUGUAGCGGUGAAAUGCUUAGAUAUUACACAGAACACCGAUUGCGAAGGCAGCUUACUAAACUAUUAUUGACGCUGAUGUACGAAAGCGUGGGGAGCGAACAGGAUUAGAUACCCUGGUAGUCCACGCCGUAAACGAUGAUCACUCGUUGUUUGUGAUAUACAAUAAGCGACCGAGCGAAAGCAUUAAGUGAUCCACCUGGGGAGUACGUUCGCAAGAAUGAAACUCAAAGGAAUUGACGGGGGCCCGCACAAGCGGAGGAACAUGUGGUUUAAUUCGAUGAUACGCGAGGAACCUUACCUGGGUUUAAAUGUAGAUUGCAUGAUCGGGAAACUGAUCUUUCCUUCGGGACUAUUUACAAGGUGCUGCAUGGUUGUCGUCAGCUCGUGCCGUGAGGUGUCGGGUUAAGUCCCAUAACGAGCGCAACCCCUAUCGUUAGUUGCCAUCAGGUCAUGCUGGGGACUCUAACGAGACUGCCGGUGUAAACCGUGAGGAAGGUGGGGAUGACGUCAAAUCAGCACGGCCCUUAUAUCCAGGGCUACACACGUGUUACAAUGGUCGAUACAAAGAGCAGCCACUUGGUGACAAGGAGCUAAUCUCUAAAGUCGAUCACAGUUCGGAUCGAAGUCUGCAACUCGACUUCGUGAAGUUGGAUUCGCUAGUAAUCGCGCAUCAGCCACGGCGCGGUGAAUACGUUCCCGGGCCUUGUACACACCGCCCGUCAAGCCAUGGAAGCUGGGGGUGCCUGAAGUCUGUAACCGCAAGGAGGGUGUAGCUGGUAACUGGGAUGAAGUCGUAACAAGGUAGCCGUA